AUGCGCUGCCCACAAGGCUAUGGCUCUGACAGAGGUCACUCUAUGCUCAGGAUACUAAAGUGGAAGACGCGAGUCAGGCCCCGGGUGAUGACCUCUCCCCCUCCGCCGCCUCCGGUCUUCGAGAUCUCCACCCGGAACCGCUGUGCUCCACUCCGUGAGACGGAACGCGACACUGUGAUCGUCGGAGACUCCAUCGUCUGACACGUCUAUACUAUGUUAGCCGAAGGAUUUACACAAGUUUCUGUCUGGAUCCAGAACACCUGAGAAGAGAUGAUGCCAGCCCCUCAGAGGACCUCAGAUGAUGCCAACCCUGAAACAACAUACAGAACUACCAAAUUUUGCUAUAAGUUUGAUUGCAUUAUAUAAUAAUUGCUGUUUAUAGUUUUCAUUGUCUGUUUGAUUACGUCUUUAAUUUAUUUUUCCGUACAUUUCUGCCAUAUGUAC
This is a long non-coding RNA of Cyprinus carpio carpio, 444 nucleotides long. Lineage: Eukaryota; Metazoa; Chordata; Actinopteri; Cypriniformes; Cyprinidae. The record is from Ensembl.